This 254-nucleotide ribosomal RNA is filed under the name uncultured bacterium. Its description in RNAcentral is "partial 16S ribosomal RNA". It matches the Rfam family "Bacterial small subunit ribosomal RNA", at positions 524 to 776 of the family's 1533-position model. The record is from RNAcentral.
UACAGAGGGUGCAAGCGUUGUUCGGAAUUACUGGGCGUAAAGCGCACGUAGGCGGACUGUUAAGUCGGGGGUGAAAUCCUGGGGCUCAACCUCAGAAUUGCCUCCGAUACUGGCAGUCUCGAGUGCGGGAGAGGUGAGUGGAAUUCCCAGUGUAGAGGUGAAAUUCGUAGAUAUUGGGAAGAACACCAGUGGCGAAGGCGGCUCACUGGCCCGUAACUGACGCUGAGGUGACGAAAGCGUGGGGAGCAAACAGG